Molecule: long non-coding RNA, 755 nt
Organism: Rhinopithecus roxellana (golden snub-nosed monkey)
Lineage: Eukaryota; Metazoa; Chordata; Mammalia; Primates; Cercopithecidae
Exons: 4
Source: RefSeq, a predicted model, not a curated record
GCCAGAUGUGAGGCCUGGGAAGGGCCUUCCCUAGCUGGGGAGAUGGUGCAGUUGAAGCUGCAGUAUUUCAGAUCCAACUGGAAUCACAGGGAUUUCUUGUUUGACUCCUCCCUGAAAUCGUGGAAGAAUCUGGAGUCGGCAGAAGUUUCCAGGAGACCAGGUUUUAACCAGUCUCACCUGUGGGCUUCAUUUCCUCAGAUGGGUCCAGACUGUCAUGUGAUCUUGGGCAGGGGUUUGUUCUCAUUCUCACAUGUGUCUCCAUCACCAUAUGCCCCUUUGGACUUUGACCGGCUGCAAGAAUCAGAGUGUCUGAAAACUGGUAGACUUACACAGCCACCCACAGAGCUGUCCUGCAGGUCCUGCUCAAAGCAGGAUUCUGUUACGGAAGCAGGAGCAGGGAGAGCCACAGUGAUGCCAUUUUAAAUUCGGCUCCAUCUCGACACAAACAGGCACAUUCCUUGCCGGUCGUGACUCAGGGUCAUAAGAUAAUUACAUCUACGAAGAACACAGCCUGAAGAUGCCUGCAAGGACAUGCUCCUACAACAGCAGAAAGUCCAGAUGUCCCAAUACCCAUAACAAUAUACGCUUUCAAAAAAUUAUAGUUAUGCUUUGAUGUACUCACUCACGAAGAUGUCAAGGAUAGCUUUCUUAAAUCAAUAGCAUAAUCAUUGUUGUCAUGCUGUCAGCCCAGCCACACGUAGGCACAGCUUAGGUUAGUCUUUACACAGAUAAGACCCCUAUAUAAGAGAAACUUA